AGCGUUAUUCGGAAUUACUGGGCGUAAAGCGUACGUAGGCGGCUUUGCAAGUUAGAGGUGAAAGCCUGGAGCUCAACUCCAGAACUGCCUUUGAUACUGAGAAGCUUGAGUCCGGGAGAGGUGAGUGGAACUGCGAGUGUAG
Molecule: ribosomal RNA, 142 nt
Filed under: uncultured Alphaproteobacteria bacterium
Lineage: Bacteria; Pseudomonadati; Pseudomonadota; Alphaproteobacteria
Description: partial 16S ribosomal RNA
Rfam family: Bacterial small subunit ribosomal RNA
Source: RNAcentral